AUUGAACGCUGGCGGAAUGCUUUACACAUGCAAGUCGAGCGGCAGCGCGGGGGCAACCCUGGCGGCGAGCGGCGAACGGGUGAGUAACACAUCGGAACGUACCCAGUUGUGGGGGAUAGCCCGGCGAAAGCCGGAUUAAUACCGCAUACGACCUGAGGGUGAAAGGGGGGGAUCGCAAGACCUCCAGCAGUUGGAGCGGGCGAUGGCGGAUUAGCUAGUUGGUGAGGGAAAGGAUCACCAAGGCGACGAUCCGUAGCGGGUCUGAGAGGGCGACCAGCCACACUGGAACUGAGACACGGUUCAGACUCCUACGGGAGGCAGCAGUGGGGAAUUUUGGACAAUGGGGGCAACCCUGAUCCAGCCAUUCCGCGUGAGUGAAGAAGGCCUUCGGGUUGUAAAGCUCUUUCGGCAGGAACGAAACGGUGGAGGCUAAUACCUUUCAUCAAUGACGGUACCUGAAGAAGAAGCACCGGCUAACUACGUGCCAGCAGCCGCAGUAA
Molecule: ribosomal RNA, 500 nt
Filed under: uncultured bacterium
Lineage: Bacteria
Description: partial 16S ribosomal RNA
Rfam family: Bacterial small subunit ribosomal RNA
Source: RNAcentral